GCCGGGCGCGGUGGCGCGCGCCUGUAGUCCCAGCUACUCGGGAGGCUGAGGCAGGAGGGUCGCUUGAGCCCAGGAGUUCUGGGCUGUAGUGCGCUAUGCCGAUCGGGUGUUCGCACUAAGUUCGGCAUCAAUAUGGUGACCUCCCGGGAGCGGGGUCCACCAGUUUGCCUAAGGAGGGGUGAACCGGCCCAGGUCGGAAACGGAGCAGGUCAAAAUAACACCGGUGUUCCUCACAGAGCUGAAACAAACGGUCCUAAAAUUUGGACAGAACCAGAAAAGACUCUGAAUAGCCAAAGCAAUCUU
This 303-nucleotide signal recognition particle RNA is filed under the name Suricata suricatta (meerkat). RNAcentral's name for it is "Metazoan signal recognition particle RNA (ENSSSUG00005010695.1)". It matches the Rfam family "Metazoan signal recognition particle RNA". From Rfam's summary of the family: The signal recognition particle (SRP) is a universally conserved ribonucleoprotein. It is involved in the co-translational targeting of proteins to membranes. The record is from Rfam by way of RNAcentral. Lineage: Eukaryota; Metazoa; Chordata; Mammalia; Carnivora; Herpestidae.